Molecule: long non-coding RNA, 294 nt
Filed under: Nicotiana benthamiana
Lineage: Eukaryota; Viridiplantae; Streptophyta; Magnoliopsida; Solanales; Solanaceae
Description: long non-coding RNA (NBEN_LNC001690)
Source: RNAcentral
CCUGUCUGUUGGAGCGAAUUGGAUGAUCGGGCCGAGGGCUGCCCCCUCUUCCCCUCACUCUCUUUUCCCUAAUAUGAACCUUGAGUCAUCAAAGCCUUUCUGACUCGUCCUGGCCUGGCCGCCCUACGCGACUGGUGCUUCAAAAGGCGAAACUCUCGGUCGUAGUUUGGCGACCUAUCUUCAGUAGGGGCAUUUAGUCUUUUGAUUAGAGUAGGGGUCGCGAGAGAGCAUAGCGUACCGCCCUGCCAUAGUCACGAGUCUGUUUAUAGUCGCGACUGUUGUCAUAGUCAACAA